Molecule: ribosomal RNA, 253 nt
Filed under: uncultured bacterium
Lineage: Bacteria
Description: partial 16S ribosomal RNA
Rfam family: Bacterial small subunit ribosomal RNA
Source: RNAcentral
UACAGAGGGUGCAAGCGUUAAUCGGAAUUACUGGGCGUAAAGCGAGCGUAGUCGGUUAUUUAAGUCGGGUGUGAAAGCCCCGGGCUCAACCUGGGAAUUGCAUUCGAUACUGGAUAGCUAGAGUUCGGCAGAGGGAAGCGGAAUUUCCGGUGUAGCGGUGAAAUGCGUGGAUAUCGGAAGGAACAUCAGUGGCGAAAGCGGCUUCCUGGACCAGAACUGACGAUCAGGCUCGAAAGCGUGGGGAGCAAACAGG